UAUGCACAGUGAGUCAGACUCGCCAUGCAGCCGUGCGGAGAUAUUGGGGACAGCAGCGCAGCGGAUGAAACAGAUGAGAGGCUUUCGCCGGGAUGUGUAUAAUCCUGUCCUCACGACAGUCGUCAGACCACCUCGUAGAUUAAAACUCGGGCUGAGGAUCACUCUCGGGGCUACUGAAUUGAACGACGAGCGCUGGUGACACGGUCGCUCCGUCCUCCCGUCGCCCUCUCCCUGGCAAUUUCCGAGGCACCAAAAGCGACGCGCAGCAGCUGCAGCCGAAGACGAUACCUUCAUAUGCAGCCUUUUUUUCUCGGUUUCCACUCCUGCCUGUUACGCUGUGGACUCAUAAGGAGGAGACUUUCAGCUGACAAGCAACAAGCACAUGGUGCGUUGUUAUGAUCAGUGAACGGUGAGAAAACAGAGGCCCUGAAACAAUCAUUGGAUGUGGAUCAAAGCGGGAAGAGCUGCCGAAUUUCGUAUCCCGACCGGACAUUUGCCAUCUUUGCUCUGAAAUAUUGGCAGUAAGAUGGGUUUUGACUUCAGCCACAGGCAAAAACAAUUUGGUCCAACAAGUGAAAUCGCGGACAGACGGACUGGCGAUCACAGUAGCAUUAUGGAGGCUACCUGACAUGCUGUUGAAACCGUGAUGGAGGGAGGAGGCGAUAGGCCAGUGCCCCCCCCCCCCCUUCACUGCGUGUUACAGAGCAGGUGAGAAACAUUAACAGAGGCAGCAGCAGCUGCGGCCCUCUGCUCCACACAUGUGGGCCAGGAUAUGAGCUAGCUCGAGCUCGCCCACUCUCAACACUGCUCGCUAAUGUUAACACUCUCCUCUCUGAAGCACAGAAAACGGUGCUAGGAACAAGAGGAAACAUGGUGGAAUCGGCACAGACUGUUAUACAAAAUAAAACUACUUUUCUUUUUUACUAUUCAUUGUAUGAGUACACAAAUUCUUAGCUGUAGAGCGGUGGUUACCAAACUUUUGUGAUUUUUUUCAAUCACAGUUUUUCACAGUU
Molecule: long non-coding RNA, 1013 nt
Organism: Xiphias gladius (swordfish)
Lineage: Eukaryota; Metazoa; Chordata; Actinopteri; Istiophoriformes; Xiphiidae
Exons: 5
Source: RefSeq, a predicted model, not a curated record